CCCGCUGAACUUAAGCAUAUCAAUAAGCGGAGGAAAAGAAACCAACAGGGAUUGCCCUAGUAACGGCGAGUGAAGCGGCAACAGCUCAAAUUUGAAAUCUGGCGUCUUUGGCGUCCGAGUUGUAAUUUGCAGAGGGCGCUUUGGCAUUGGCAGCGGUCCAAGUUCCUUGGAACAGGACGUCACAGAGGGUGAGAAUCCCGUACGUGGUCGCUAGCCUUUACCGUGUAAAGCCCCUUCGACGAGUCGAGUUGUUUGGGAAUGCAGCUCUAAAUGGGAGGUAAAUUUCUUCUAAAGCUAAAUACUGGCCAGAGACCGAUAGCGCACAAGUAGAGUGAUCGAAAGAUGAAAAGCACUUUGGAAAGAGAGUUAAAAAGCACGUGAAAUUGUUGAAAGGGAAGCGCUUGCAGCCAGACUUGCCUGUAGUUGCUCAUCCGGGUUUUUACCCGGUGCACUCUUCUAUAGGCAGGCCAGCAUCAGUUUGGGCGGUUGGAUAAAGGUCUCUGUCACGUACCUCCUCUCGGGGAGAACUUAUAGGGGAGACGUAAUGCAACCAGCCUGGACUGAGGUCCGCGCAUCUGCUAGGAUGCUGGCGUAAUGGCUGUAAGCGGCCCGUCUUGAAACACGGACCAAGGAGUCUAACAUCUAUGCGAGUGUUUGGGUGUCAAGCCCGAGCGCGUAAUGAAAGUGAACGGAGGUGGGAACCUUUCGGGGUGCACCAUCGACCGAUCCUGAUGUCUUCGGAUGGAUUUGAGUAAGAGCAUAGCUGUUGGGACCCGAAAGAUGGUGAACUAUGCUUGAAUAGGGUGAAGCCAGAGGAAACUCUGGUGGAGGCUCGCAGCGGUUCUGACGUGCAAAUCGAUCGUCAAAUUUGGGCAUAGGGGCGAAAGACUAAUCGAACUAUCUAGUA
This 907-nucleotide ribosomal RNA is filed under the name Boeremia exigua. RNAcentral describes it as "LSU rRNA". It matches the Rfam family "Eukaryotic large subunit ribosomal RNA", at positions 24 to 949 of the family's 3401-position model. Lineage: Eukaryota; Fungi; Ascomycota; Dothideomycetes; Pleosporales; Didymellaceae. The record is from RNAcentral.